GCCCCAAAAGCUGUGCCCCUCCGCGUUUAUAAACCCAGGGUCGUUACAAUAUUAUAGUGUCAAAAUGUAUUACAAAGUGCAAAUAGGAUAAUUAUGGUCAUAAAGUCAGUCUCGUCCAAAACAUAGUUUUGUAAUUGAAUUCGUCACGAUUUACUGGAUGGUUGGGUAUGGAUUAUGAUCAUGCCCACUUUUGCCAAUUAUGCCAAAUUGCAGAGAAAACACGUUGUAGUCCGCAUCCAGCUGCCAUGUGGACAUGUGUUGUCAAGGCUGCAUAUGGGUGGAACGCACAUUUCGCUCUGCAAUUAUGAGUGAAAAUGGGCUUCCAUAAAGUUGGUGCAAACUUCCAAUACAUUUCAACAAUAUUGCCAGGAGUGGAUUACAUUCGACACGGUCACUUCUGCUGCCUGUCAACCGUCAAACCACUGCACUGGUGUUGGCUACGUACAAGAUCUGGUUGAUUUGUAGUUCAGCAAUGUUGUUGGAACCCCCCCCUGCCAUAUCAGGAGCUGUUACAGAAGGCUGAGGCAGUGGCCAUACACCAGUCCUGCUUGAGUGUAAUGGAGGACACUUGAAUCAGGAGCUGGGUCGGAUAUAGGAGCCGUAGUCGGGCUUCUGCAUGACCAGUAUCUGUGACGAGAGGGACCUGGAGCUGAUCUACGCUGCCAUGCCAAUCAAAAGCAAACGCCUCAAAAGGGACAAACAAACAGUGAUUACUAAUAAGACAGUACAUCAUAUCACCCUUUCAAUGUGUCACUCAUCAACUCUUCCUUGGUUUUCUACAGAUGGGAAGAAGAGUUGCUUUUCAGAUGGAGUCCUCUGACUGAAAGACAGGUUAAUACUGAUGUCAGAAUUGGGAGAGACCUUGCAACUCAGCAUAAAAUCUUACAAGACA
This is a long non-coding RNA of Oncorhynchus kisutch (coho salmon), 892 nucleotides long. RefSeq lists it as uncharacterized. The record is from RefSeq and is a predicted model, not a curated record. The transcript is spliced from 3 exons. Lineage: Eukaryota; Metazoa; Chordata; Actinopteri; Salmoniformes; Salmonidae.